This 253-nucleotide ribosomal RNA is filed under the name uncultured bacterium. RNAcentral describes it as "partial 16S ribosomal RNA". It matches the Rfam family "Bacterial small subunit ribosomal RNA", at positions 524 to 776 of the family's 1533-position model. The record is from RNAcentral.
UACGUAGGGAGCAAGCGUUGUCCGGAAUCAUUGGGCGUAAAGCGCGCGUAGGCGGCCCUGUAAGUCCGUUGUGAAAGUCAAAGGCUCAACCUUUGAAAGCCGAUGGAUACUGCAGGGCUAGAGUCCGGAAGAGGCGAGUGGAAUUCCUGGUGUAGCGGUGGAAUGCGCAGAUAUCAGGAGGAACACCAAUGGCGAAGGCAGCUCGCUGGGACGUGACUGACGCUGAGACGCGAAAGCGUGGGGAGCAAACAGG